CACGUAGGGGACGAGCGUUGUCCGGAUUCAUUGGGCGUAAAGCGCGCGUAGGCGGCUCGGAAAGUCGGUCGUGAAAUGCCGGGGCUCAACCCCGGGACUGCGUCCGAUACUCCCGAGCUGGAGGCAGGUAGGGGAGAUCGGAAUUCCUGGUGUAGCGGUGAAAUGCGCAGAUAUCAGGAGGAACACCGGUGGCGAAGGCGGAUCUCUGGGCCUUGCCUGACGCUGAGGAGCGAAAGCGUGGGGAGCAAACAGG
This 253-nucleotide ribosomal RNA is filed under the name uncultured bacterium. RNAcentral's name for it is "partial 16S ribosomal RNA". It matches the Rfam family "Bacterial small subunit ribosomal RNA", at positions 524 to 776 of the family's 1533-position model. The record is from RNAcentral.